AGAGUUUGAUCCUGGCUCAGAUUGAACGCUGGCGGAAUGCUUUACACAUGCAAGUCGAACGGCAGCACGGGGGCAACCCUGGUGGCGAGUGGCGAACGGGUGAGUAAUACAUCGGAACGUGCCCAGUCGUGGGGGAUAACGUAGCGAAAGUUACGCUAAUACCGCAUACGAUCUACGGAUGAAAGCGGGGGAUCGCAAGACCUCGCGCGAUUGGAGCGGCCGAUGUCAGAUUAGGUAGUUGGUGGGGUAAAGGCCUACCAAGCCAACGAUCUGUAGCUGGUCUGAGAGGACGACCAGCCACACUGGGACUGAGACACGGCCCAGACUCCUACGGGAGGCAGCAGUGGGGAAUUUUGGACAAUGGGCGCAAGCCUGAUCCAGCCAUUCCGCGUGCAGGACGAAGGCCUUCGGGUUGUAAACUGCUUUUGUACAGAACGAAAAGCUCUGGGUUAAUACCCUGGGGUCAUGACGGUACUGUAAGAAUAAGCACCGGCUAACUACGUGCCAGCAGCCGCGGUAAUACGUAGGGUGCAAGCGUUAAUCGGAAUUACUGGGCGUAAAGCGUGCGCAGGCGGUUUUGUAAGACAGAGGUGAAAUCCCCGGGCUCAACCUGGGAACUGCCUUUGUGACUGCAAGGCUGGAGUGCGGCAGAGGGGGAUGGAAUUCCGCGUGUAGCAGUGAAAUGCGUAGAUAUGCGGAGGAACACCGAUGGCGAAGGCAAUCCCCUGGGCCUGCACUGACGCUCAUGCACCGAAAGCGUGGGGAGCAAACAGGAUUAGAUACCCCUGGUAGUCCACGCCCUAAACGAUGUCAACUGGGUUGUUGGGUCUUCACUGACUCAGUAACGAAAGCUAACGCCGGGAAGUUGACCGCCUGGGGGAGUACGGCCCGCAAGGUUGAAACUCAAAGGAAUUGACGGG
Molecule: ribosomal RNA, 920 nt
Filed under: uncultured bacterium
Lineage: Bacteria
Description: bacterial SSU rRNA
Rfam family: Bacterial small subunit ribosomal RNA
Source: RNAcentral